This 91-nucleotide transfer RNA is filed under the name Clostridiales bacterium. Its description in RNAcentral is "tRNA-Ser". It matches the Rfam family "tRNA". From Rfam's summary of the family: Transfer RNA (tRNA) molecules are approximately 80 nucleotides in length. Their secondary structure includes four short double-helical elements and three loops (D, anti-codon, and T loops). Lineage: Bacteria; Bacillati; Bacillota; Clostridia; Eubacteriales. The record is from RNAcentral. RNAcentral also lists the same sequence under 2 other names.
GGAGAUGUAUCGAAGUGGUCAUAACGGGGCGCACUCGAAAUGCGUUGAUCCCUACCGGGAUCCGUGGGUUCGAAUCCCACCAUCUCCGCCA